UAUUUAAUUAACUCACCCCUAAUGCCUUGGCAGAGCCAAAACAAAUGAUUUCACAGGCCUUAUAUGGCCCAUGGGCUGGAUGUUCCCACCCCUGCUAUAGAGAACCUUCACCUUGCCCUCCUUCCUUAAAAUACCUCUCCUAUUUAGAACCCCUCAGAACUUGCUUAUUUUGGCCCAUCACAUCUAUGCAAAACCUCACUCCAGCAAGUAAAGGCCAUUUUCUCCUUUUAUUUGCAGUUGAACAUCUAUAAUAAUAAAAUUGUAAUAUGCUAAUUAGACCGGACGGCUGAACAGUGGAACGACCAUCGGGACAACCUUCAGGACGAAGCCGGGGCUGCAAGGGCCGAGCCCCUUGCAAGAAUUCCGUGUAUCGGGCCUCUAGGUUUUCAUAAAGCUUCUUUCCAAGAGCAACCUGAAGUGCUUUGCAUGCUCACUGGCUGACCCUCCACUUCCAGUACCCAGAAAAAUGGGUAAUUUGCCAUAACUCUGUGGCCCCUGGGGGUCUGCAUUCAUAAGUGAGAACUUCUGCUAUAUAGCAUCCUAACUGUUCACUUGUUAAAAUAUAACAUGGAAAUACCUGUUUUUGACCAAAGGCACUUUAAAAUCAGUUAUACCUUUAGAAUGUUGAGUUUUUCUGGACUUAUGAAUAUUCAAAGGUCAGAUAACUUAGUUUUAUUUAUACCCAUUUUGAAGAAGAAAUGAGCAUGAGUGCUUACAUUUGUCUGUUAAGCUUAUAUUAGUGCAUUAUAAGUAGAACAAUGCAUAAUAUCAAGCUAACCAAAUUAUAGAAAUUAUCAUUGCAGAGAUGCCAGAAAAAUGAAGCUUUAAGCUUUGGCUGAACCCUAUUCAGUUUCUCUAAAGUGAAAGUCAACACUUCUGGUUUUAAGUGAUUUUUUUUCCCAUUCUUUUUACUCAAGAAGACAUUUAUUGAAUAUCCUGUUUAAUGUGUUAAGCUAAACUCUGGAGUAGACUCAAUAAAUAAGCAAUACCCAUCCUCAAAGUGCCUUCUAAUUAAUAGGAGGUGGUAAUUGGGAUGGUCUCUACCCAGAAUUAUUUUACUACUUUGCUUAGCCAAUACUGACAGGAAGCCUUCACUAACCCAUUAAGUUUGUCUUGGAAAAAUGCCCCUUCUAAUGCCUUUCUAGAAGUCUUACAACACUAUCACUUAUAUACAGUUAUCCUUAUAAUUACUUCAUUAUCUGUCUGGUACAUGGACUGUGAGACCAUGUUUAUUUUGUUCUCUCUUGUAACCCAUCAUCUGGCACAAGUUGGUACUCAGUGUUUGUUGAAUGAAUAAACUGAAAAUUCAAAAAAUAUCUGUAUAAUAAAGAAUUCUGGAAUGGAACCAACAAAA
Molecule: long non-coding RNA, 1354 nt
Organism: Myotis lucifugus (little brown bat)
Lineage: Eukaryota; Metazoa; Chordata; Mammalia; Chiroptera; Vespertilionidae
Exons: 2
Source: RefSeq, a predicted model, not a curated record